GAUGAACGCUGGCGGCGUGCCUAAUACAUGCAAGUCGAGCGAACAGACGAGGAGCUUGCUCCUUUGACGUUAGCGGCGGACGGGUGAGUAACACGUGGGUAACCUACCUAUAAGACUGGGAUAACUUCGGGAAACCGGAGCUAAUACCGGAUAAUAUUUCGAACCGCAUGGUUCGAUAGUGAAAGAUGGCUUUGCUGUCACUUAUAGAUGGACCUGCGCCGUAUUAGCUAGUUGGUAAGGUAACGGCUUACCAAGGCAACGAUACGUAGCCGACCUGAGAGGGUGAUCGGCCACACUGGAACUGAGACACGGUCCAGACUCCUACGGGAGGCAGCAGUAGGGAAUCUUCCGCAAUGGGCGAAAGCCUGACGGAGCAACGCCGCGUGAGUGAUGAAGGUCUUCGGAUCGUAAAACUCUGUUAUUAGGGAAGAACAAAUGUGUAAGUAACUGUGCACGUCUUGACGGUACCUAAUCAGAAAGCCACGGCUAACUACGUG
RNAcentral lists this ribosomal RNA (497 nucleotides) under uncultured bacterium. Its description in RNAcentral is "partial 16S ribosomal RNA". It matches the Rfam family "Bacterial small subunit ribosomal RNA", at positions 28 to 507 of the family's 1533-position model. The record is from RNAcentral.